RNAcentral lists this long non-coding RNA (5021 nucleotides) under Homo sapiens (human). RNAcentral's name for it is "HSALNT0267439". The stretch from base 792 to 939 matches the Rfam family "Metazoan signal recognition particle RNA". The record is from RNAcentral. Lineage: Eukaryota; Metazoa; Chordata; Mammalia; Primates; Hominidae.
GGAGUGCAGUGGCAUGAUCACAGUUCACUACACUCUUGGUCUUCCAGGCCCAAGCAAUCUUUCCAUAUCAUCCUCUCGAGUAGCCGGUACUACAGGCGUGUGCUACCACAUCCAGCUAAUUUAAAAAAUUUUUUUCUUUGUAUAGACGGGGUCUCCCUAUGUCACCCAGGUUUGCCUUGAACUCAGGGGCUCCCUUUGAACUGGGCUUGGGGCUGCUGACCUCCUUCCUCCGAGGAAGCUUUGUUCCUGGCCAGUCUUGCCCAUGGGCAUUGCCAGUCACAUGAUUCAACUGGAGGCCCAUGUGGCACAGAGAAGAAAAACUGCAGACUCCAAGUGAAGAACCAUCCUCACCUGACAGGAGCUCCCCGGGACUGAGCGGGUUUCAGCAUCACUGUGAUGGUCGUGUCUGUCUCAUUCAAUGGGGUGUCUGUGUCGUACUCAGGCAUGGAUGGAGCUGGACAGGAAACAGAGAGUGCAGGCCCUGCACUGUGUGCUGCUGGAGAGGUGCCCAACUGAAUUCAAGUCAGGCCUCAUCCUCAAGUGACUUCCAUUCUUGAGAGAGAGUGACCCCCAUUUCUUUACUCCUGGAAGACAAGCCAUUGUUUUGGAAGGAAGGCUCCAGAAUGUCCAUGAGUGGCUUUGGCUUCUGUAUCAAGGCGCAGUGGCUCAUGUCUGAAAUCCCAGCACUUUGGGAGGCUAAGGCAGGAGGAUUAUUUGAGCCUAGGAGUUUAAGAGCAGCCUGGGCAAAACAGCGAGACCCCAUCUCUACACCAAUUUGUUUUAAAAAACUAGCUGGGCAUGGUGAUGCACGCCUGUAGUCCUAGUUACUUGGGAGGCUGAGGCAGGAGGAUCACUUGAGCCCUGGAGGUCGAGGCUGCAGUGAGCCACAAUCGCGGCACAGCAUUCUAGCCUGGGAAACAGAGUGAGACCAUGUCUCAAAGCAAGCAAGCAAACAAACAAACAAAACAAAAAAGUUUGAAGGUCAUAGAAAAGCAAAGAAAGACCAAGAAAUGGUCACAGGUUGAGGAACAAGGAGACAUGACAACGAAAUGCUAUGUGAGAGCCUAGAAGAAAAAAGAAGACCUCUGUGGAAAACCUGGAGAAAUCUGGAAAAAAAAAAAAGUCUGGCAUUUAAUCAAUAAUAAUGCACUGAAGUGAAUUCUUAAUUUUAAUAAAUAUACCAUGGCUAUGCAAGAUGUUAACAUUAGGGAAAGUUGUAUGAGGGGUAUAAAACUCUCUCUUUUUUUUUUUUUACAGUUUCUCUGUAAACUUAUUUCAAAAUCAAUUGUUUAAAAGACAACAAAUGGCAUGCUGAGAUUUGGCUGCUGUGAGCAUCUUUGUGGCUGCAGAACAGAACCUAAACAGAUAUCCAUUGAGCUCUUGACUAGGUGCUUGGCCAUGUACUAAGCUCUAGAGAAUCCUCAGGAACCUACAAUUUGGUGAGGGAGAUAGGUAUGGCCCACAGGAAUAAGCGGGCAAGGCACAUUAAGAGCUCUGUUCUGAAGGAAGGGAAGAUGGCUCUUAUGAGCAUGUAACAGAGAAAACAGAUUGAGUCUCUGGGGCCAGAUGCCUUCCUCAUAGAGUGUGAAGCUGUUAACCAGAUGAGGAGCAUGGGAGAAGGGUGGGAGGCAUGACAGGAGAUGGUGGAGAAUGAAAGAAGAAAAGGCUCUUGGGCAGGACAACUGCUUGCCUAAGGGAUGCUUUUGUGCAAAGUAGAAAAGGUGCCUGUCUCAACUCAGUCUCAGCCCCCUGUACUUCAGUGAGCUGAUGCUGCCUUUGUGAGAAGAAGAAGAUACGCUUUUCUUGGUGCCCAGUCAUAUUCUUCCUGGCAGACACAGCACAGAGUUUAAUGGAUUUCAUUUCCUUGGUAGUGUGUCUUUGUGCAGUGCACAAACUAAGCAACAGUAGGUGGCAUUUCUGCUGAGCUCAGAUUAUGGAAGCCUUUAAUGAACUACUCAAGUGUAUAUAUUUUAUUUCGAGGGUAAUAUAGAGCCAUUAAAGGAGAGGGUAGGCCAUCAAGAGAGACACAGGAUCAUACCACAGUGCUACUAAACGUGUGGUUUGCAGAUAAACAGCAUCAGCACCACCUGGGAGCUUGUUAGAGCUGCAGAUUCAUGAGUCUAUCCCAGACCUCCUGAUCAGAAUGUCCGGGGCUGAGGCCCAGCACUCUGUUGUUUCAUAAGCUCUCCAGGUGAUUCUCAUGCACACUGAGUUUGGAGAAACACUUUCUCAGGCAAGGGGAUGGAGGAUUGAAAUGACCAGAGGAACAACACCGGGGUCCCUUUGGAGGGUCUGGCUCUCAUGCAGAUGACAAAUACAAAGAAGGCCUUGUUUCAACCAGAAGCAGAGGAGAUGGAGAGGUGACAACAGUGACUCUGAGAGAUUCUGAGUCCUGGCUGGAGAAGAAUGAGGUCCCUAGAAAUGUAAGAAUGAGACGGAGCCAACACAUGGCCCCAGACCUGAGCCUCCUAAGGCUGAAAACCACUGGGGAAGACCUGCAAGUAUCCUUACUGGCCUCGUGCUUCCAAUGCUGUUAACAUUCAUGAAGGCAAAGAGUGUGGGUCUCAGCCAGCGGGAGGGAAGACCACUGGCUGACAGUCUUGCAGAGCCAGGGCUGAAACUCUGACCCAUCACUUACCAAGCUUUAAGCGACUGAAGCUCUAUUUUGUACCCUCACCAGCCGAAGGGCCCUGGAGACAACAGAACAGAGCAGCAACGCCUCUGAACAGCAUCUGCCAGGCUUCCCUGCUUUCCAAAGCCAAGCUUCAGGGUCAGAGGCUCAGCCUGCAGGCUUGGUUGGCUGUGCCGGGGCCUGCCCGGGCUGCACACCUUCCCCAGCACUGCCAGCACAGGGACCCAUGCCCGUGGUUCCUGGCCGUAUCAGCCCUGCUGCGGCCCUGCAGGGGCUUCCUCUAGCCUGGUGCGGACUUUCUUGGUUACCAUGGAUCAAAGGGCUGUUGUAGGAGUGGGGAAGUUAACUCGUUUGCCCAACAUGGCUUUUGCUGAUUUCCAAUCAAUGCCCUGCUCUCUGACUUCAGCUGUUUUCCUAUUGGCUGUGGGAUCAAACAUAGGGAGAAAACAAACUCGAAAUCCAGCUGGCCCAGGGUCCUUAGUAUUCACCAUCCAUCAACCAAAAUGGAGGGUUAGUUAGUGGGUGAUAAUAACAGGAACAAACAUUAUGUGCCUACCAUGCAUAUGGCUCUCUUCCCUGUGUCACCAUCCUGCUCCUUAGCUACCAGACACACUUUAGGUGAGUGUAUUCCUGUCAACAGGUGCUCCCUCCACCAACACCUCUGGCCCCUCCAAUCCUUAGCACCGGGCUGCUUCCCAGACUCAUUGCCUUCCCUCCCCUGCCUCACAUGAGAGGGAUAUUCUGAGAUUCACUCUUCCCAGCUGCCCUAAAUUUCAAAGAAUGCAGUCAGAGUCCCAUAGCAGGGCCACCAUCAACUCAGACGGCUCUAAGCUCUUUCUUCCUGAACUACCAUAAUGCAGCCUAAUAAUAUGAAGCCUCAACCUCCUUUCAGCUUUUAGUCUCAUGCUGGGGUGUCCUGGGUGCUAUGAUUUUGUUAUUUUCACAGAAACCUUCUUGUUUAAUGAGUCUGUCUAGCAAUAUUCCCAAUGGCUUUUAGUCUGUAUUGCAAUACUUCUUGGGUUUCUGAACAUGAGCUGCUUGCCUUCCAACUUCACACUCAGCUGAUUUCUGUUCUGCUAAGUUUAACCUGGUUAAGUUGCUAAGUUGCAUGACCAAUUCCUCUCCAGUUGGCUUUGGGCAUGGAGAUGCAAGAAGUUAAAUAAUCCCAUGAUCCUGCUCAUUGGAACCCUGCAGCCAUACUAACAGCCUUUCUGGCAGACACCGCCUGGAACAAAUCCUUCAUUAAGGGCAAAGCCUAGAUUCUAUUUAUUGAUUGUAAUAAUUGCCAAGCACCCAGCUUGGCAUAGAGAAGGAGUCAAUAAGGUUUACCAAAUACAUGAGGAUUAAGAAUGAAAAUGUAACAAAUCCUCAAUGUGGUACAACUGGGAUUUAAAAUGAGGUCAUUCUGAUCCUGAAGUCCAGUAUUCUCCGCCCCACCCUGCCACCUUGGCCUUGGCUCCUCUGUGCACAUCCUGUGUGAACAGUUUCUAGGGAGAGGGGCUGAUUGAGGGGAGGCUGCAACUGUCAGAACACGAGGCUUUGUAGAGGGUCUGUCUGAGCCCACCCCACUCAGGAGGGACUUGCCAAGCAAGCCCAGAAGCUGGGUCCAUGCCUGUCCGGCACAGAGUUGGUGCUCAGUAACUAUGUAUUUAAUAAUUAAGGAGGCCCAAGGUGGUGAAGGUCUUGUAUCUGGGCCUGAAUUUCUAAACCUGUGUAAGUAGAAAGUCCUUUUGGUGCUUUUUAGAAAAUAGCCCAUAUCCUUUGACACUGCUUUCAUUAAAAGGUGGUGUUUAUAUCCCCUGACUCCCCUUAAGUCUUAGGGGACUUGGGACUGCUCUCACCGAUACAAUGUAGGGGAUGUGAUAUUUUGUGACUUCUAAGAUUAGGUCAUGAAGGCAAUGUAGUUUCUGACUUGUCCACAGAGACUCUUAUGUCUACAGUGUCUAAGCUGCUGUAUAAGAAGUCUAACUCCCCUGGGGCCGCCAUGUGUGAGCAAACGCAGGGUGCAUGACAGUCCCUGUGUAGAUGCUCUAGAUUGACAGCCCCAGCUGAGUCCAGUCAUCUGGGCAACAGACAGCUAAGUGAGGAGGCUGCCGUGUGAGUCCAGUUCUCGGCUCUCUGGUCACCCCUGGUCAUUUGAGUCUUCUCAGCUGGGACCCUAGACAUUGUGGAGCUGAAGCAAAUCAUCCCUGCCCUCUUGCAUUCCUGACCCACAGAAUAUGUAAGCAUAAUAAAGUUGUUGUUUUAUUCCACUAAAUUUUGGAGUGAUUUGUUACCAGCAGUAGUAACUAGAACACCAUUUGUUCAUUAGACAAGAGUUUCUUAAAGAGCAUCGGCAAUAUUUUAUUCUCUUUCAUAUCCCCAAAAGGAAACAGUAAAUGCUUAACAA